AAAAGCAGUAGCUCAGGCUGUGCUUAGUGCCCUUAAGCGCUUAAUAUUGGCAGAUAAAGACCUUCCAGGGAAAAAGAGUUUAUACAUAAGGUUGGGCUGCCGAGGUGAUUGGCCAGACAUCAAACCCCCAGGCUGGGAUCCAUCAACGAGCCUUGAUGCAUCUUCUCCGCGGUCAUAACUCAUAGCAGAAUCACAGUAUAUGUAUCUAAAUGAAGCUAUUUUUCUCUACCCUUAGGCUCUUGUAUCAAUGUAUCAAAAUUAAAAAACAUUCUUCUUGAGGAUAUCAAGUUGGAUAUUCUCAACAUGAUCUUUCUAUAUUAAGGGAAAGAAAAG
This 333-nucleotide unclassified non-coding RNA is filed under the name Hevea brasiliensis (rubber tree). Lineage: Eukaryota; Viridiplantae; Streptophyta; Magnoliopsida; Malpighiales; Euphorbiaceae. The record is from RNAcentral.